RNAcentral lists this ribosomal RNA (512 nucleotides) under Salmonella enterica subsp. enterica serovar Enteritidis. Its description in RNAcentral is "bacterial SSU rRNA". It matches the Rfam family "Bacterial small subunit ribosomal RNA", at positions 1 to 502 of the family's 1533-position model. The record is from RNAcentral. Lineage: Bacteria; Pseudomonadati; Pseudomonadota; Gammaproteobacteria; Enterobacterales; Enterobacteriaceae.
AAAUUGAAGAGUUUGAUCAUGGCUCAGAUUGAACGCUGGCGGCAGGCCUAACACAUGCAAGUCGAACGGUAACAGGAAGCAGCUUGCUGCUUUGCUGACGAGUGGCGGACGGGUGAGUAAUGUCUGGGAAACUGCCUGAUGGAGGGGGAUAACUACUGGAAACGGUGGCUAAUACCGCAUAACGUCGCAAGACCAAAGAGGGGGACCUUCGGGCCUCUUGCCAUCAGAUGUGCCCAGAUGGGAUUAGCUUGUUGGUGAGGUAACGGCUCACCAAGGCGACGAUCCCUAGCUGGUCUGAGAGGAUGACCAGCCACACUGGAACUGAGACACGGUCCAGACUCCUACGGGAGGCAGCAGUGGGGAAUAUUGCACAAUGGGCGCAAGCCUGAUGCAGCCAUGCCGCGUGUAUGAAGAAGGCCUUCGGGUUGUAAAGUACUUUCAGCGGGGAGGAAGGGAGUAAGGUUAAUAACCUUAUUCAUUGACGUUACCCGCAGAAGAAGCACCGGCUAACU